Molecule: long non-coding RNA, 447 nt
Filed under: Physcomitrium patens
Lineage: Eukaryota; Viridiplantae; Streptophyta; Bryopsida; Funariales; Funariaceae
Description: long non-coding RNA (PPAT_LNC002715)
Source: RNAcentral
UAAAGCUGCGUCAUCUAGCACGACUUAUUUCUCUCCAUUUUGUAUUUGGUAAAUAUCUUGAAUGAAAAUUGGUGCUUACUGACUAGUCCUGUACUUGCUAUAUUAUUGUUGUGUUCUUUGCAGAUUUUGGAUGUCGUCAAAUCAGUUAGAUGUUCAUCUCAAAGUUUUUAAAUUUUAUCCUUGCAGUGAUACUGAAAGCUGAUUCCUUCCAUUUAUAUUUACUCUUAAGAUUUGCUAAAAUAAGAAUCUCAUUUUUUGUAUCAAUAUUCAUUUAAGUAUACAAGAAAAAAUGGAGGCCUUGGUGUACUUAUUGUUGUGACGUAGAAGGAGAAGCAAAAUUGUUAAUAUGUUAAACCCAUAUUAAGUACACCAUUAUGUGGAACUCCAAGCUUUCUUAAUAAUCUAUCAAUUCUUAUCCAAAACUUGUAGGACUUUAGCCUUGAAUGU